This 66-nucleotide ribozyme is filed under the name Aedes aegypti (yellow fever mosquito). RNAcentral's name for it is "drz-agam-1 ribozyme". It matches the Rfam family "drz-agam-1 ribozyme". The record is from Rfam by way of RNAcentral. Lineage: Eukaryota; Metazoa; Arthropoda; Insecta; Diptera; Culicidae.
UGCCCAGCAACUUCUAUCCCUAUCUCCUCGCGGUACUGGCCGGUGUACGAGCAACUUUAGGGAAGA